Long non-coding RNA from Macadamia integrifolia, 1183 nucleotides. RefSeq lists it as uncharacterized. The transcript has 5 exons. Lineage: Eukaryota; Viridiplantae; Streptophyta; Magnoliopsida; Proteales; Proteaceae. The record is from RefSeq and is a predicted model, not a curated record.
ACUUCAACCCACUAUAUUUGGUAUGCAAGCCACAUGCUCUACCUGGCUAAGAAGGCAAAGAAGCUGCUUUUGUGUCCUAUCAUGCAGCAUGGAGUAUGGAUUCUUAGUAUGGGUCAGAUAUGGUUCUACUUCUGGGUUCAAGCUGGAUCCAUGUGAGAAUACAGUUUAGUACCUGAAAAUUUAGUUCUGGAAGUGACACAUCCAAGCUUUUCCAGAUUCUGAUCAUGGAUAUCCAGACAGAGAGGAAAGGUUUCAGUGGAGGAAGCAGUGGUAAAUGAAUUUGACAUGAAGCCCCAUAACGACGACAUCGGAGACUAUGUAAAAAUUUGCUGUGAAAGGACAAACAAAUAUAUGACCAAAACCAGACAAGUGCAAGUAUAGUUAAUUGAUGAGAAGAAAACCGUGCCAGUGAAAGGAUCAGAGAAGAAAAGAACAAGAGACCGUGGAGAAAUGGAAGAGAAUAUGUUCAAGCUAUUUGAGAGGCAAUCAAAUUGGACACUGAGGCAAUUAAUCUAGGAGACAGACCAGCCUGAGUUUUAAGCUAUGGAGCUUAAUGCAGAAGGCCAUCAUGUGGAAUAUCUGAAGGGAAAGAAAAAUCGGAGUUCUCAAGGCUUUGCAGAAUAAGCAUAUUCUAUACACACACAGCAAUUUGUGAAAGAUCCUUUCGAACACCUUGUGUCUACAACAAGAAGGGAACAUAUCAAGGAACCGACAAGUUAAAUUCAGAAUAUAAGAGAUUAGGGAGCGGAUCUUGGCACAACAGUAAGGUUGCUCCAUUGCAAUCUAGUGGUUGCCGAUUUGAAUCGGAAAACAACCUCUCCACGACCCUCCCUAGACCCUGCAGUGGCAGAAUCCUCGUGCACUGGAUACGCCCCUUUAGGUGAGGAAGCAGAUCCGAAGUAAAUUGGGUAGAGUAAAUGCUGCAUACUGAGAAAAAUACCAUGAGAGUGACCAUUCUAUUUAUUUCUUCAAAGACUCAAUCUCCAUUGGUGGACUGAAAUACAGAAGUAGAAAGGUGAUUUUAAUUAUGUCUUCCUUGGGUCUCUUCUUCUCAUGUUCACUUCAGGGUUUAAUUUGUAGCCAAACAGCCAUUGACUGUCUUUAAACAAUACAAUCUUGUAACCAUUGUACAUUGACAGGAAAAAUAGAGAUCAGGAUACAUCUGGCGGUGAUUCACUUUCAA